This 501-nucleotide long non-coding RNA is filed under the name Phascolarctos cinereus (koala). RNAcentral's name for it is "lncRNA (ENSPCIG00000032640.1)". Lineage: Eukaryota; Metazoa; Chordata; Mammalia; Diprotodontia; Phascolarctidae. The record is from RNAcentral.
UCGGGGCGCGGGAAGAGCACGUGGCGCGGCAGCGAGGCCCUCCGCCCCGCCCUGCGCGAGGCUGCUUGGGGUGUAGCCAUGGGGGCGCGGGCGGGGCGGGGCGGCACGCGGAGGAGGGUUCUUAUAAUAGCUUUUAUAAUUGCCAGAGCCCGGAGGGAGGCGAGGGCCGGAGCCGGGGGAGCGCCACGCUGGUCCUGCUGCGCUGCCUCGAGAGCAGACCUGGGAGGCAAGACCUGGCGAUCAAGCCCAGCCUCCAGCGCUUGGAAGCCAAGUGACACCGAGCCAGCCAUCCCAGUGGACCCAGGAAGUAUGGUCUACUUUUUCCUUGUCAAUGAAUCCUUAGAAAACAAUCUGCUGGGACCCUUCUUAAAGCUUUUCCAGCAUGGUAGAACUUGCCACCGCUCUAGUCUUCUGUUACCAAAGAUAAAUCACCUCCAGACCACCAGGAAGCACCAGAGAACAUCAGGGGAGACCGAUAAGCUAUGUAAAAGCAAAUACUAA